GGCACAGGUGGCAAAGAUUUCGGAACCUUCCGUAGAACAGAGUGUUUCAAGUGAACCUAUUGAUAUAAAUGACUUGAGAAAGAAAAAACCUCAUAUUUCAUUCAAACCAUUUUUUGAGACUCCUUUCACAGAGAAAUUAGAAAAGAUCUUGGACAAGUCGAGCAAAGAUCUGAAAUCGCCUGAUGGCCUCAAAAAACAAACAAGACAUGGCUUUCAACAGAAUGCUUCGAGGGAAAUACAGGAAGAAACUCUUACACAUUCACCAGAGCCAGAGAAAAUAUCUAAACAGCAAAUUUUAACUAAAACUCCUGCAAGCAAAGUCAGUGAACAUGGUUUAGAGUUACCACCAAAAACCUGUCCAGGAUUUCAUCGGCA
This is a long non-coding RNA of Saccostrea cuccullata (small rock oyster), 375 nucleotides long. RefSeq lists it as uncharacterized. The transcript has 3 exons. The record is from RefSeq and is a predicted model, not a curated record. Lineage: Eukaryota; Metazoa; Mollusca; Bivalvia; Ostreida; Ostreidae.